RNAcentral lists this ribosomal RNA (468 nucleotides) under uncultured bacterium. RNAcentral describes it as "partial 16S ribosomal RNA". It matches the Rfam family "Bacterial small subunit ribosomal RNA", at positions 28 to 507 of the family's 1533-position model. The record is from RNAcentral.
GACGAACGCUGGCGGCGUGCUUAACACAUGCAAGUCGAACGGAAAGGCCCUGCUCUUGUGGGGUGCUCGAGUGGCGAACGGGUGAGUAACACGUGAGUAACCUGCCCUUGACUUUGGGAUAACUUCAGGAAACUGGGGCUAAUACCGGAUAGGAGCUCCUGCUGCAUGGUGGGGGUUGGAAAGUUUCGGCGGUUGGGGCUGGACUCGCGGCUUAUCAGCUUGUUGGUGGGGUAGUGGCUUACCAAGGCUUUGACGGGUAGCCGGCCUGAGAGGGUGACCGGCCACAAUGGGACUGAGAUACGGCCCAGAAGCCUACGGGAGGCAGCAGUGGGGAAUAUUGCACAAUGGGCGGAAGCCUGAUGCAGCAACGCCGCGUGCGGGAUGACGGCCUUCGGGUUGUAAACCGCUUUCGCCUGUGACGAAGCGUGAGUGACGGUAAUGGGUAAAGAAGCACCGGCUAACUACGUG